RNAcentral lists this ribosomal RNA (460 nucleotides) under uncultured bacterium. RNAcentral describes it as "partial 16S ribosomal RNA". It matches the Rfam family "Bacterial small subunit ribosomal RNA", at positions 338 to 795 of the family's 1533-position model. The record is from RNAcentral.
CCUACGGGUGGCUGCAGUGAGGAAUAUUGGUCAAUGGGCGUUAGCCUGAACCAGCCAAGUCGCGUGAAGGAUGACUGCUCUAUGGGUUGUAAACUUCUUUUAUAUGGGAAUAAAGUGUGGGAUGUAUCCUACUUUGCAUGUACCUUAUGAAUAAGGAUCGGCUAACUCCGUGCCAGCAGCCGCGGUAAUACGGAGGAUCCGAGCGUUAUCCGGAUUUAUUGGGUUUAAAGGGAGCGUAGGCGGCUUUUUAAGUCAGUGGUGAAUGUUUGGGGCUCAACCAUAAAAGUGCUGUGGACUCUGGAGGCCGUGAGUAUGUUUGAGGCAGGCGGAAUUCGUGGUGUAGCGGUGAAAUGCUUAGAUAUCACGAAGAACCCCGAUUGCGAAGGCAGCCUGCCAAGCUGUGACUGACGCUGAUGCUCGAAAGCGUGGGUAUCAAACAGGAUUAGAUACCCGUGUAGUC